UGGGUUAGGGUUAGGGUUAGGUUAUAUAGAUAAAUGCGAAGAGUGCCUCCCCCCGAAGUGCCUCCCCCCCCUUAUCUCGGGUACCAUAAGUCCUAGAGUGCUGAAACUUGGUGGGUAUACUAAUUAGGGAGUGGGCUUUCGAAUGCACCCAGUGCCGUCUCUCUA
Long non-coding RNA from Cyprinus carpio (common carp), 165 nucleotides. RefSeq lists it as uncharacterized. The record is from RefSeq and is a predicted model, not a curated record. NCBI's taxonomy places the organism in Eukaryota, Metazoa, Chordata, Actinopteri, Cypriniformes, Cyprinidae. The transcript has 3 exons.